AACGAACGCUGGCGGCAUGCCUAACACAUGCAAGUCGAACGAGACCUUCGGGUCUAGUGGCGCACGGGUGCGUAACGCGUGGGAAUCUGCCCUUGGGUUCGGAAUAACAGUUGGAAACGACUGCUAAUACCGGAUGAUGACGUAAGUCCAAAGAUUUAUCGCCCAAGGAUGAGCCCGCGUAGGAUUAGCUAGUUGGUGAGGUAAAGGCUCACCAAGGCGACGAUCCUUAGCUGGUCUGAGAGGAUGCACAGCCACACUGGGACUGAGACACGGCCCAGACUCCAGCGAGCGGCAGCGGAGGGGAAAAUUGGGCCGGGGGCCAAAGGCUGCAACGCCACGUCCGGGAUGAGGACGAACGGUUUGGGGUUCGAAUGCUCUUUUACCCGGGCUGAAAAGACCGUAACGGGGAAAAAAACCCCGGGUUACUACGUU
Molecule: ribosomal RNA, 432 nt
Filed under: uncultured bacterium
Lineage: Bacteria
Description: partial 16S ribosomal RNA
Rfam family: Bacterial small subunit ribosomal RNA
Source: RNAcentral